ACUCCUACGGGAGGCAGCAGUGGGAAUAUUGCACAAUGGGGAAAGCCCAUCGAUGCAGCCAUGCCGCGCUGUGUGAAGAAGGCCAUUCGGGCUUGGUAAAGACACUUUUCAGUAGGGAGGAAGGUAGUGUAGUUAACACCUGCACUAUUUGACGUUACCUACAGAAGAAGCACCGGCUAACUCCGUGCCAGCAGCCGCGGUAAUACGGAGGGUGCCCUGGACAAAGACUGACGCUCAGAUGCGAAAAGCGUGGGGAGCAAACAGGAUUAGAUACCCUGGUAGCGACUG
RNAcentral lists this ribosomal RNA (288 nucleotides) under uncultured bacterium. RNAcentral describes it as "partial 16S ribosomal RNA". It matches the Rfam family "Bacterial small subunit ribosomal RNA", at positions 335 to 797 of the family's 1533-position model. The record is from RNAcentral.